UUCUGUCCAGCCUCCGGCUCUCUGGGGCCCCCAUGGCCUCCCCCUGCCAGCGCCCCCCGGACCUGGGGACCUUGUGGAGAGCUGGUGCAGAGUCCUGCAGGGGUCAGGGUAUUCAGGGGUCCGACGUCCACCUGCCGGGCGUCCUUGGCCAAGGCCUUGAGCUCCCUGCCUCAUCUGUACUACACGCCGUGGAGCUACUUCAUGAAGUAAAGCCAAGAUUUAAGGGAGUGCUGAGGGAGUCUGUGUGCUAGAACCUUCCUUCUCAGGCUGAAACGCUCCCGGUGCGGAGGGAGGGCAGCAGAGCCUGUGGGGGCGGCGCGGCCCACACGCGUUUCUGUAACUCCCGCUGUUCCCUCCGACCCGGGUGAGAAAAUGAGGCGACUUCCUGUGAUAAGUGAGCGUGACCGGCCUCGGACUUUCUGCAAAGCCUUAGUGGCAAAUGAAGGAAAUUAUCCCCUGGGUUAAUAAUGCAACUACCUCCAAAAUCGUUUGGAAUAAGAAGAAAGAUUGAUUAAUCCAUGAUUAAUAAAUGGAGCCGUCAUUCUGAUAAAAGAA
Suricata suricatta (meerkat) is the source of this 555-nucleotide long non-coding RNA. RefSeq lists it as uncharacterized. The transcript has 2 exons. The record is from RefSeq and is a predicted model, not a curated record. Lineage: Eukaryota; Metazoa; Chordata; Mammalia; Carnivora; Herpestidae.